Molecule: small RNA, 184 nt
Filed under: Gopherus agassizii (Agassiz's desert tortoise)
Lineage: Eukaryota; Metazoa; Chordata; Testudines; Testudinidae
Description: TUC338 (ENSGAGG00000003104.1)
Source: RNAcentral
UCUUGCCAAGCCUGAAGCCUCUAUUUAUCCACACACCAGCUAUAGCAAAGGCAGGAGCAGUAGAAGCUUUCCCAAGUCUGUGCCCCACCCAGAAGAUCUUAUCUGUACCCCUGAUUUGAAGGGAUCACGCUUCUCGGGAUGUGAGGGUAAUUCAGUCACCAUGUCCAUCUGACCCUUGAUUUCU